This 253-nucleotide ribosomal RNA is filed under the name uncultured bacterium. RNAcentral's name for it is "partial 16S ribosomal RNA". It matches the Rfam family "Bacterial small subunit ribosomal RNA", at positions 524 to 776 of the family's 1533-position model. The record is from RNAcentral.
UACGUGGGGGGCAAGCGUUGUUCGGAAUUACUGGGCGUAAAGGGCGCGUAGGCGGCCAACUAAGUCGGAUGUGAAAUCCCCAGGCUCAACUUGGGAACUGCAUCCGAUACUGGUCGGCUUGAAUCCGGGAGAGGGAUGCAGAAUUCCAGGUGUAGCGGUGAAAUGCGCAGAUAUCAGGAGGAACACCGAUGGCGAAGGCAGGUCUCUGGGCCACUACUGACGCUGAGAAGCGAAAGCAUGGGGAGCGAACAGG